Molecule: long non-coding RNA, 1642 nt
Filed under: Capsella rubella
Lineage: Eukaryota; Viridiplantae; Streptophyta; Magnoliopsida; Brassicales; Brassicaceae
Description: long non-coding RNA (CRUB_LNC004111)
Source: RNAcentral
GUAGGGGCGGACCUAGUCACAAGGAAGGCAGGUGAUGUGACCUGGGUAAAUUUUUUAUUUUCCCUUUUCACUAAAAUUUUUUUUUCCCUUGUAUUUGAUCUAGGUGGAAUAACAUCUUGGGUUCGCAUGAGAUUUAUAAUAGAACCUUCUCUGAAGAAUCACCAUGACUAACUACAUCAGAUGGAUCUAUAUUAUGACUGGGUUUAGCUCUUUUCCUAGUACGCAACUUUUCAAUGGGAGGUGUUUCAACAUAGGCGUCAUCAUCCAUGAUUUGGUUCAUGUCCUCGGUUGCUUGAAGAUCAUCUUCUUUUUCACAUUUCAGAAUCACCACCAAGUCCAAACGUGUUGUUUCCAGUUGCUAUAGAAGUUUCAAAAAUUAAUUGUAAAUCUUCGUAAUCUUUGAAAGUGCUGGUCCUCAUGUGUUCAUGAUUUGGAUGACCCUGAGAAAACAAAAUUCAUUUAUUAGUUAUCAAUACUAGUAAAAAAAAAAAGAAAAUAGAUGUUGAUCUUAACACAAGAAUAUUUCCGUCAAUACAGGCUCUCCACACAUCAUCUGGAGCUGUAAAUUGUUUUGCGAUGGGAUCCAAUCCAAAACCAAAAGCUCGGUAUACACAUUAUACUUGUAACGCCCGUGUCUGGAAAUCCGGGUGGUGUCGAUCGACACUGUGGUCGGGUGUCGAUCGACACUAGUGAUUUUGGUUUGACGGUUUAAGUUUUAAAUCGUCGGUUCAAUUGAGGUUUUGGUUAGGGUUUAACCCUAGGUCACGUUUAAAAGAAAAAAGGUCAUGUUUUGUUGGGAGGUGGCCGCUUUUAUUCUUUUAAAAGGUUUCUAAGUUCUCUAGAGAGGUUUUGUGAGGUUUGAGAAGUGUUUUGAGGCUUUUUCUUGGUGUUUCUGUCCUUGGGAAGAGAGAUCUCGUAGCUGUGGUGUUAGGAGAGUCCUUGGUUGCUGUUGUUGUGAUCUGUUCGUCCUUGUUUCUGUCUUUUUGAAAGGUGAGUGCAUGACUAGGCUGAUCUAAGCAGUUUUGAUGCAUAUUUUGAGUGUUUCUUCUGAUUGAUAUUUGAUUUCUGUGUUUGUAUGCUUGUCUAUGUGAUAUGGUGUCUUGGUACGAGUCUGGGAAGGAGAUAGAUCAGGCCUGGAGUCCUGGAGUUGGUGGAUUCGUCGAUGAGAAGCGGCUGGAGCGAUGUUAGGGUUUCGGUGUCGCUCGACACCAAGGGAGGGUGUCGAUCGACACCAACUUUCUUUCUCGCGAGGAUGGUCGCGAGUGUCGAGCGACACCAGCGGAUGGUGUCGAUCGACACUGCUCGUCAGAACGGGUCAUGUUAUGUUGUUUUGCGUUGUAUUGGUGGUGGUUUGAGUUAUACUUGAAUGUGUUCAUUUCUGCUUGUGUGUAUAGCCAGUGGUGGGAUGAUUGCCUCACUAAGUAUUUAUGAAAUACUUAUGCAUCUCUUUCUUUGAUGCAGGUAAAAGCAAAGUGUGAUCCGUGGAAUCAUGGCGAGGAGAGGAGGAUGAUCUAGGCACUCAUUGGUGUUUUAGGUUAUUGUUGGAUUUAUUAGGGUGUUAGAAUGGAAUUUAGAAACAUGUUAGGAUGAUCAUGUUUUGGAAUAAUGUUUGGUUGAACUUGUUGGUUUAAUGGAAUUGUUU